GCCCUAGUAGCUUAAUUUAAAGCAUCGGUCUCGUAAUCCGAAGAUUGGAAGUUAAAUUCCCCCCUAGAGCC
Molecule: transfer RNA, 71 nt
Filed under: Dawkinsia chalakkudiensis (chalak barb)
Lineage: Eukaryota; Metazoa; Chordata; Actinopteri; Cypriniformes; Cyprinidae
Description: tRNA-Thr
Rfam family: tRNA
About the family: Transfer RNA (tRNA) molecules are approximately 80 nucleotides in length.
Source: RNAcentral